This 699-nucleotide ribosomal RNA is filed under the name uncultured bacterium. Its description in RNAcentral is "bacterial SSU rRNA". It matches the Rfam family "Bacterial small subunit ribosomal RNA", at positions 57 to 752 of the family's 1533-position model. The record is from RNAcentral.
GCAGUCGAGCGGUAGAGAGGUGCUUGCACCUCUUGAGAGCGGCGGACGGGUGAGUAAAGCCUAGGAAUCUGCCUGGUAGUGGGGGAUAACGCUCGGAAACGGACGCUAAUACCGCAUACGUCCUACGGGAGAAAGCAGGGGACCUUCGGGCCUUGCGCUAUCAGAUGAGCCUAGGUCGGAUUAGCUAGUUGGUGAGGUAAUGGCUCACCAAGGCGACGAUCCGUAACUGGUCUGAGAGGAUGAUCAGUCACACUGGAACUGAGACACGGUCCAGACUCCUACGGGAGGCAGCAGUGGGGAAUAUUGGACAAUGGGCGAAAGCCUGAUCCAGCCAUGCCGCGUGUGUGAAGAAGGUCUUCGGAUUGUAAAGCACUUUAAGUUGGGAGGAAGGGCAUUAACCUAAUACGUUAGUGUUUUGACGUUACCGACAGAAUAAGCACCGGCUAACUCUGUGCCAGCAGCCGCGGUAAUACAGAGGGUGCAAGCGUUAAUCGGAAUUACUGGGCGUAAAGCGCGCGUAGGUGGUUCGUUAAGUUGGAUGUGAAAUCCCCGGGCUCAACCUGGGAACUGCAUUCAAAACUGUCGAGCUAGAGUAUGGUAGAGGGUGGUGGAAUUUCCUGUGUAGCGGUGAAAUGCGUAGAUAUAGGAAGGAACACCAGUGGCGAAGGCGACCACCUGGACUGAUACUGACACUGAGGU